GUGUCUGGGAAGCAGAGAAGGCCACGUCAGUGUGGGCACAGCACUCCUUAAAUGCCUCUGGAGGGUUUUGAGGGUUUUUUGCCCAUCUGCCUUGGAAAUUCAGCGUUUGCCUGACAGCACUGUAGACAUUCCCAGGGAUGAUGCAGUCCUAAACAAGGAAAGCCAGUUGGAAGCAAAACAUACUUGUGUAAACCAGUCCAAAAAGCCCUGCCUGUGAGCAAGCUGUCUUCAGACUAAGCCUGAAGCUAGCCUGCAGUCUGACAAGCCUUUGGAUUAAUUGCACCCUCUCCUUGCUAGCAAAUGGGAGGAUUUUAAACAUCCUUUAAAGCUUUCUGAAGUUCUGGUUCUGCUGCAGAAUACUGUGAUUUUCGUGAUGUAAUUAGCGGUUGUUCAGGUUUGGGAUAAUUGGCAUCAGCCAGGGCUGGCUGCUCCCAGUUUGCUGAAGUCGCACAACUGAAGUGGCCAAGAAGCAAGAACACUUCUGAGAAUGAAAAGAUGAUUCCCUCCCUCCAGAAUCUCACAUCAAGUGAAAAAUAAGCCUGUAUAAUUUGGCAGGAAUCACUGUAAUCACAGAGUUUCAGCAACUGAGUUUGUAUCAAGUGACUUUUAUGCCACUUCCUGAGGAGAAGAGAGUGCCUGUGACAUAUCAGCAAUUUACCUGACACCCUUGAGACUUAUGAGCAUUCCUAAUUCUCCCAGAAAGCUCAGAACAAGUCAUUUUGAAUUUUGACGCUUAAAAUAAUUCCUAGGGUUGAGUGAAAUUCAUGCCUUCACCAAAAAAAUAAAAAUUAAAAAAAAAAAAAAUAAAAAAAUUGUAAGAUGAAUUUGGGGCUCUUUACAAUGCUGAAAAAAAAUAAUUAAAAAAUUAAAAAAUAAAUUAAAAAAGGGGUCUAAUAAAAGCACCCAAGGAUUUUGAAAUUCCUCUGAUAAUCACCUGAUUUCCAAACUAUUCUUGUGAACUCUAGUUCAGUUCCAUCUGGAGAGGAAACCAAGUUACUGCCUGCAUAGAAGACUCACUUGUGCCUGUGCACACACACAGACAAUUUCCCUCUGGCUUUUAGUCUCAUAUUUUGACUUAAAGGAAAAAA
Non-coding RNA from Cyanistes caeruleus (blue tit), 1088 nucleotides. The record is from RefSeq and is a predicted model, not a curated record. NCBI's taxonomy places the organism in Eukaryota, Metazoa, Chordata, Aves, Passeriformes, Paridae.